GAUGAAGAACGUAGCGAAAUGCGAUAAGUAAUGUGAAUUGCAGAAUUCAGUGAAUCAUCGAAUCUUUGAACGCACCUUGCGCUCCUUGGUAUUCCGAGGAGCAUGCCUGUUUGAGUGUCAUGAAAUUCUCAACCUUUUCAGCUUUCUUUGUUGAUCAGGCUUGGAUGUGGGAGUAUGCGGGCUUCUCAGAAGUCGGCUCUCCUGAAAUGCAUUAGCGGGACCUUUGUUGCCUGGCUUUGGUGUGAUAAUUAUCUACGCCAUUGUGGUCAAGCAGCUUAAAAUGAGGUUUCAGCUUCUAACCGUCUCCCCUGAGACAACUUUUUGACAAUUUGACCUCAAAUCAGGUAGGACUACCCGCUGAACUUAAGCAUAUCAAUAGCGGAGGA
This 386-nucleotide unclassified non-coding RNA is filed under the name soil metagenome. RNAcentral's name for it is "partial contains 5.8S ribosomal RNA, internal transcribed spacer 2, and large subunit ribosomal RNA". The stretch from base 1 to 120 matches the Rfam family "5.8S ribosomal RNA", at positions 35 to 154 of the family's 154-position model. The record is from RNAcentral.